RNAcentral lists this transfer RNA (82 nucleotides) under Pseudoroseicyclus aestuarii. It matches the Rfam family "tRNA". Rfam says of the family: Transfer RNA (tRNA) molecules are approximately 80 nucleotides in length. Their secondary structure includes four short double-helical elements and three loops (D, anti-codon, and T loops). Further hydrogen bonds mediate the characteristic L-shaped molecular structure. tRNAs have two regions of fundamental functional importance: the anti-codon, which is responsible for specific mRNA codon recognition, and the 3' end, to which the tRNAs corresponding amino acid is attached (by aminoacyl-tRNA synthetases). tRNAs cope with the degeneracy of the genetic code in two manners: having more than one tRNA (with a specific anti-codon) for a particular amino acid; and 'wobble' base-pairing, i.e. permitting non-standard base-pairing at the 3rd anti-codon position. The record is from Rfam by way of RNAcentral. Lineage: Bacteria; Pseudomonadati; Pseudomonadota; Alphaproteobacteria; Rhodobacterales; Paracoccaceae.
GCGGGCGUGGCGGAACGGUAGACGCAUCGGACUUAAACUCCGUGGGCCAUAGGCCGUGUGGGUUCGAUUCCCACCGUCCGCA